CAAAAAUCUGACAUGAUACAGAAAAACCAAAAUCAGGUUUUGAACUAGAAGAGAAAAUACUUCAGCUAUCACCUUACAGUCAUCAAACAUCGUUCCAAAUGUUUUAAAAUGGACCAUAGUGUAUAUAUUGACGUUAACAAUAUUACUACUUUCACCUACUGAUUAUUUGCUGUAACUGAAACACACUUUUUUCUCAUUCAAUGUUACAGAAUCUGUAAGCAAUUGGCGAUAGAGAGCAAUGGCUGUCAUAUCAUGGAAAAAUAUAACUAAUCGUGACGAAAUUCGAAGAAUUGUGAACAACACAGCAUCUCAACAAACCAUUGCAACAGCAACUGCAGUAGUUUGAAGAUACCAGCAGCACAGCAUUUACUCACUGCGCAAACAGGUUAACCAACUUCUUCACACUGCUCUUCCAUCAAGAAAACACACUUCAAAGACGGAUUUACACCAGAUGUCAGAAGAACAGGACCUCAUAUCAUGUCAAUGUCAGAGCAUAUUACCACUAGGCGACACAUCACGUCAGUUGUCUUUAGCACAGCCCUG
This is a long non-coding RNA of Schistocerca cancellata (South American locust), 543 nucleotides long. RefSeq lists it as uncharacterized. The record is from RefSeq and is a predicted model, not a curated record. NCBI's taxonomy places the organism in Eukaryota, Metazoa, Arthropoda, Insecta, Orthoptera, Acrididae. The transcript has 3 exons.